This 481-nucleotide ribosomal RNA is filed under the name uncultured bacterium. RNAcentral's name for it is "partial 16S ribosomal RNA". It matches the Rfam family "Bacterial small subunit ribosomal RNA", at positions 28 to 507 of the family's 1533-position model. The record is from RNAcentral.
GAUGAACGCUGGCGGCGUGCUUAACACAUGCAAGUCGAACGAAGCACUUUAUUUGAUUUCCUUCGGGACUGAUUAUUUUGUGACUGAGUGGCGGACGGGUGAGUAACGCGUGGGUAACCUGCCUUGUACAGGGGGAUAACAGUUGGAAACGGCUGCUAAUACCGCAUAAGCGCACGGCAUCGCAUGAUGCAGUGUGAAAAACUCCGGUGGUAUAAGAUGGACCCGCGUUGGAUUAGCUAGUUGGUGAGGUAACGGCCCACCAAGGCGACGAUCCAUAGCCGACCUGAGAGGGUGACCGGCCACAUUGGGACUGCGACACGGCCCAAACUCCUACGGGAGGCAGCAGUGGGGAAUAUUGCACAAUGGGCGAAAGCCUGAUGCAGCGACGCCGCGUGAGCGAAGAAGUAUUUCGGUAUGUAAAGCUCUAUCAGCAGGGAAGAUAAUGACGGUACCUGACUAAGAAGCACCGGCUAAAUACGUG